RNAcentral lists this transfer RNA (73 nucleotides) under Spirochaetes bacterium RBG_16_67_19. Its description in RNAcentral is "tRNA-Phe". It matches the Rfam family "tRNA". From Rfam's summary of the family: Transfer RNA (tRNA) molecules are approximately 80 nucleotides in length. The record is from RNAcentral. Lineage: Bacteria; Pseudomonadati; Spirochaetota.
GCCACUGUAGCUCAGUCGGUAGAGCAGUGGACUGAAAAUCCAUGUGUCAGCAGUUCGAUUCUGCUCGGUGGCA